UGUUUAAAACAAAAUUCAAAUUCCCAAGACGAACCAAGAGGUCCAACUUUUCCUCAGAUAUACAAUUCCUGGGAAGAGUGAGGAGCUCGGGCAAGGUUGCUGUCACCAUCUGGACCCCAAAGGAUCUGGCGAGUGGAGCACACGGGGAGCGCUGGUCUUUCUGGCAGCCCAUCAGCCCUGGCGUGCAGAUAAAAAGACAUGAAAAGGAGUCAGAUUGUAUAAUUGUCGCUCGGCGCUGUAACUAGCAGAGGAGUGGACCCACGUUACUUCUGUAAGCAAGAUAGAGGAGGCACUUGGUAGCAGAAAGCAUCAAUCCAGUGUUGAAAGAAGUCCUUUGCCGUGGGCAAAGAAACAAGGUGAAGUUGGCCACAUGCUAUAUAACAUUUAUAAUGUUAAUAACAAAAACUGUCGACGCGAUUAAAUCUGUU
RNAcentral lists this long non-coding RNA (428 nucleotides) under Chinchilla lanigera (long-tailed chinchilla). RNAcentral describes it as "lncRNA (ENSCLAG00000025831.1)". The record is from RNAcentral. Lineage: Eukaryota; Metazoa; Chordata; Mammalia; Rodentia; Chinchillidae.